UACGUAGGGUGCAAGCGUUGUCCGGAAUUAUUGGGCGUAAAGAGCUCGUAGGCGGUUUGUUGCGUCGGCUGUGAAAUCCCGAGGCUCAACCUCGGGUCUGCAGUCGAUACGAGCAAACUAGAGUGUUGCAGGGGAGACUGGAAUUCCUGGUGUAGCGGUGAAAUGCGCAGAUAUCAGGAGGAACACCGGUGGCGAAGGCGGGUCUCUGGGCCGAUAUUGACGCUGAGACGCGAAAGCGUGGGGAGCAAACAGG
RNAcentral lists this ribosomal RNA (253 nucleotides) under uncultured bacterium. Its description in RNAcentral is "partial 16S ribosomal RNA". It matches the Rfam family "Bacterial small subunit ribosomal RNA", at positions 524 to 776 of the family's 1533-position model. The record is from RNAcentral.